AGCGUGAUGCAGCAACGCCGCGUGGGGGAAGAAGGCCUUCGGGUUGUAAACCUCUUUCAGUUGGGACGAAGCCUCGCGGGUUAAUAGCCCGUUGAGGUGACGGUACCUUCAGAAGAAGCCCCGGCUAACUACGUGCCAGCAGCCGCGGUAAUACGUAGGGGGCAAGCGUUGUCCGGAAUCAUUGGGCGUAAAGAGCGUGUAGGCGGCCCGAUAAGUCCGCUGUGAAAGUCCAGGGCUCAACCCUGGAAUGCCGGUGGAUACUGUCGGGCUCGAAUCCGGAAGAGGUGAGUGGAAUUCCUGGUGUAGCGGUGAAAUGCGCAGAUAUCAGGAGGAACACCAAUGGCGAAGGCAGCUCACUGGGACGGUAUUGACGCUGAGACGCGAAAGCGUGGGGAGCAAACAGGAUUAGAUACCCUGGUAGUCCACGCCGUAAACGAUGGUCACUAGGUGUGGGGGGUGUCGACUCCCUCCGUGCCGGAGCUAACGCAUUAAGUGACCCGCCUGGGGAGUACGGCCGCAAGGCUAAAACUCAAAGAAAUU
RNAcentral lists this ribosomal RNA (540 nucleotides) under uncultured bacterium. RNAcentral describes it as "bacterial SSU rRNA". It matches the Rfam family "Bacterial small subunit ribosomal RNA", at positions 380 to 911 of the family's 1533-position model. The record is from RNAcentral.